RNAcentral lists this long non-coding RNA (217 nucleotides) under Setaria italica (foxtail millet). RNAcentral describes it as "long non-coding RNA (SITA_LNC007398)". The record is from RNAcentral. Lineage: Eukaryota; Viridiplantae; Streptophyta; Magnoliopsida; Poales; Poaceae.
CGCCUUGCCUCACCGCCGCCGGACAGACCUGCCGCCGGCGACCUCCUUCUACAGCCGCCGCUCCAUGGAAGCCCCCACCCCCAAACCCCCAAACACUAACCUGCCAUAGGUCGCCGGAGACUUUCCGUGGUGGAGGAAGAUGGCCGGAGCCUCGCCGUGGCCGAGGAAGAUGUGGCUGGAGGGUCCAAUUGCGUGGUGUGGCAGCAGCAGCAAAAAU